AUUGAACGCUGGCGGCAGGCUUAACACAUGCAAGUCGAGCGGUAGCACAGGGGAGCUUGCUCCCUGGGUGACGAGCGGCGGACGGGUGAGUAAUGUCUGGGAAACUGCCUGAUGGAGGGGGAUAACUACUGGAAACGGUAGCUAAUACCGCAUAACGUCGCAAGACCAAAGAGGGGGACCUUCGGGCCUCUUGCCAUCAGAUGUGCCCAGAUGGGAUUAGCUAGUAGGUGGGGUAAUGGCUCACCUAGGCGACGAUCCCUAGCUGGUCUGAGAGGAUGACCAGCCACACUGGAACUGAGACACGGUCCAGACUCCUACGGGAGGCAGCAGUGGGGAAUAUUGCACAAUGGGCGCAAGCCUGAUGCAGCCAUGCCGCGUGUGUGAAGAAGGCCUUCGGGUUGUAAAGCACUUUCAGCGAGGAGGAAGGUGGUGAACUUAAUACGUUCAUCAAUUGACGUUACUCGCAGAAGAAGCACCGGCUAACUCCGUGC
This 491-nucleotide ribosomal RNA is filed under the name uncultured bacterium. Its description in RNAcentral is "partial 16S ribosomal RNA". It matches the Rfam family "Bacterial small subunit ribosomal RNA", at positions 30 to 508 of the family's 1533-position model. The record is from RNAcentral.